GACGAACGCUGGCGGCGUGCUUAACACAUGCAAGUCGAACGGCAAGGCCCUGCUUUUGUGCUGUUCUCGAUUGCCGAUCGCGUGAGUAACACGUAAGUAACCUGCUCUUGUCUUUGGGAUAGCUUCAGGAAGCUGGGGUUACUCUCAUACCGGAUCCCCCGCUGCGUGGUGGGGGUUGGAAAUUUUCGGCGGUCGGGGUUGGACGCGCGGCUUAUCAGCUUGUUGGUGGGGUAGUGGCUUACCCAGGCUUUGACGGGUCGGCGGCCUGAGAGGGUGGCCGGCCACAAUGGGACUGAGGUACGGCCCAGACGGCAACGGGGGGCAACGGUGGGGAAUAUUGCACAACGGGAGGAAGCCUGAUAAAGCAACGCCGCGGGCGGGAUGACGGCCUUCGGGUUGUAAACCGCUUUAGCCUGAGACGAAGCGUGAGUGACGGUAAUGAGUAAAGAAGCACCGGCUAACUACGUG
This 468-nucleotide ribosomal RNA is filed under the name uncultured bacterium. RNAcentral describes it as "partial 16S ribosomal RNA". It matches the Rfam family "Bacterial small subunit ribosomal RNA", at positions 28 to 507 of the family's 1533-position model. The record is from RNAcentral.